This is a non-coding RNA of Triticum aestivum (bread wheat), 139 nucleotides long. NCBI's taxonomy places the organism in Eukaryota, Viridiplantae, Streptophyta, Magnoliopsida, Poales, Poaceae. The record is from Rfam.
GAGAGCCGUGUGAUGGGAAACCUUCCCGCACGGUUCGAAGAGCACUGAAGACGAAUGAGAGGUUCACCACCACAUCAUUGCAAGGGGAGCUCGCUUGAUUCGCAGAUUGGCCUGACUCGUAAUUCACUUUUGACUCUGU